Molecule: non-coding RNA, 743 nt
Organism: Equus caballus (horse)
Lineage: Eukaryota; Metazoa; Chordata; Mammalia; Perissodactyla; Equidae
Source: RefSeq, a predicted model, not a curated record
GGAGUGGGGUGGGACUUAGGGACUCAGCCUUGUCUUCCUUGUCUGGGGACAGUGGCCCCAAGCCUCCUUUCUCCACUCUCUGCCUCCCCUCUUGCCCCCCCUGCAGUCUCUUUUCCACUUAAUCAGAAUGAGCUUUGUAAACUGUAAACUGGAUCUCAUCGCUUUCAGCUGCCCUGCUCACAAACCUUCCAUGGCUCCCCAGUACCCCUGGGGAUAAAGACCAAAAGGCAGAGCUCAGCCCAUGAGGCCCUGUGUGAAGGCUCUGACUCGAUCACAUUCCAAUUUUCCACUUCUUUGCUGUGCCUCAUUGACCUUCUUCCAUGUCUUCAUUCCCACCAGACUCUUCCCUGCCUCAGGACCUUUGCACAUGCCGAGUCUUCUGCCUAAACAGGCCUCAGCUAAGCGAAUUUUCAUUCAUUCUGCAGAGCUCAGGUCUAAUGUCACUUCCCCAGAGAGGGCUUUUCUGACUCCAGACCAGAGGAAGCAGCUGCCUUGUGGCGAGGACACUCAAGCAGUCAUCCUCCAGAGAAACACGUGCGGCAAGGAUCCUCCAGCCGUGAGAGUGAGCCACCUUGGAAGCAGAUCCUGCAGCCCCAGUCAAGCCUUCAGAUGCCAGCCGUCCGCACCAGCAUCCUGACUGCAACCUCCUGAGAGAUCCUAAACCGGAACCGCCAGCUAAGCCACGCAUGGAUUUCCGACCCUCAGAAAUGGUGUGAGAUGAUAAACGUUUAUUGUUGCUUGAA